UAGGGAAUAUUGGGCAAUGGAGGGAACUCUGACCCAGCCAUGCCGCGUGCAGGAUGAAGGCGUUAUGCGUUGUAAACUGCUUUUUAUAUAGGAAGAAAUAGUCCUUGCGAGGAAAGUUGACGGUACUAUAUGAAUAAGCACCGGCUAACUCCGUGCCAGCAGCCGCGGUAAUACGGAGGGUGCAAGCGUUGUCCGGAUUUAUUGGGUUUAAAGGGUGCGUAGGCGGUUUAUUAAGUCAGUGGUGAAAGACGGUCGCUCAACGAUUGCAGUGCCAUUGAUACUGGUAGACUUGAGUAUGAUUGAGGUAGCUGGAAUGGAUAGUGUAGCGGUGAAAUGCAUAGAUAUUAUCCAGAACACCAAUUGCGUAGGCAAGUUACUAAGUCAUAACUGACGCUGAGGCACGAAAGCGUGGGGAGCAAACAGGAUUAGAUACCCUCGUAGUCCCUGAGCGGGCUGGCAAGGCGCAU
This 467-nucleotide ribosomal RNA is filed under the name uncultured bacterium. RNAcentral's name for it is "bacterial SSU rRNA". It matches the Rfam family "Bacterial small subunit ribosomal RNA", at positions 355 to 825 of the family's 1533-position model. The record is from RNAcentral.